RNAcentral lists this ribosomal RNA (468 nucleotides) under uncultured bacterium. RNAcentral describes it as "partial 16S ribosomal RNA". It matches the Rfam family "Bacterial small subunit ribosomal RNA", at positions 28 to 507 of the family's 1533-position model. The record is from RNAcentral.
GACGAACGCUGGCGGCGUGCUUAACACAUGCAAGUCGAACGGAAAGGCCCUGAUUUUGUGGGGUGCUCGAGUGGCGAACGGGUGAGUAACACGUGAGUAACCUGCCCUUGACUUUGGGAUAACUUCAGGAAACUGGGGCUAAUACCGGAUAGGAGCUCCUGCUGCAGGGUGGGGGUUGGAAAGUUUCGGCGGUUGGGGAUGGACUCGCGGCUUAUCAGCUUGUUGGUGGGGUAGUGGCUUACCGAGGCAUUGACGGGUAGCCGGCCUGGGAGGGUGGCCAGCCCCAAGGGUCCUGAGAUACGGCCCAGUCUCGAACGGUGGACAACGGGGGGGAGUCUUGUACAGUGGGCGCGAGCCGGUUACGACGGCGCCGGGGGCGGAAAGACGGCUUGUGGGUUGUAAACAGCUUUAGCCUGAGACGAAGCGUGAGUGACGGUACCGGAUGAAGAAGCACCGGCUAACUACGUG